GACGAACGCUGGCGGCGUGCUUAACACAUGCAAGUCGAACGGAAAGGCCCUGCUUUUGUGGGGUGCUCGAGUGGCGAACGGGUGAGUAACACGUGAGUAACCUGCCCUUGACUUUGGGAUAACUUCAGGAAACUGGGGCUAAUACCGGAUAGGAGCUCCUGCUGCAUGGUGGGGGUUGGAAAGUUUCGGCGGUUGGGGAUGGACUCGCGGCUUAUCAGCUUGUUGGUGGGGUAGUGGCUUACCAAGGCUUUGACGGGUGGCCGGCCUGAGAGGGUGACCGGACACAUGGGGAGGGGGAUACGCCCCAGACGCCUAGGGGGGGGGAAGGGGGGGAAAAUUGUACAAAGGGGGGAAGCGUGUGGAGGAACCGCGGGGGGGGGAGGGAGGGCGUCCGGGGUGAAAACCCUUUUGCCCUGGGAGAAGGAGGAAGGACGGUAAAUGGGGAAAAAACACCGGGUAAAUCUGUG
This 467-nucleotide ribosomal RNA is filed under the name uncultured bacterium. Its description in RNAcentral is "partial 16S ribosomal RNA". It matches the Rfam family "Bacterial small subunit ribosomal RNA", at positions 28 to 507 of the family's 1533-position model. The record is from RNAcentral.